Molecule: ribosomal RNA, 305 nt
Filed under: uncultured bacterium
Lineage: Bacteria
Description: bacterial SSU rRNA
Rfam family: Bacterial small subunit ribosomal RNA
Source: RNAcentral
AUUUCCUACGGGACGCAGCAGUGAGGAAUAUUGGUCAAUGGGCUUACGCCUGAACCAGCCAAGUCGCGUGAGGGAAGACUGCCCUAUGGGUUGUAAACCUCUUUUGUCGGGGAGCAAUGCCGGGCACGCGUGCCCGGAGGGAGAGUACCCGCAGAAUAAGCAUCGGCUAACUCCGUGCCAGCAGCCGCGGUAAUACGGAGGAUGCGAGCGUUAUCCGGAUUUAUUGGGUUUAAAGGGUGCGUAGGCGGAUUUUUAAGUCAGCGGUAAAAUGUCCGGGCUCAACCCGGGCCGGCCGUUGAAACUGG